UUGUGAAAAGAGCCGCAGUGUCUAUAAAAAUGGUCGCCGUUUUUUUUAGCGAUGCCGACGACACCGGUAUCCCCUGUAAAAGUGGCCGCAGCGACACCCUUAUUCUUUUUUUUCUGUUUCUUUUGCUGUUGUUGACGUUUAAAUUUCAAUCGCAGAUCCCUGACGCAGCGUUAACGUGCCGAACAUGGCCAUUGAUUCAAAUACAUCCACCAUAUAACCCAUUCCAAAAUAAAACCUGUUCAAUAAUCUCUUUACCCGUCCCGUGAUUUUUUUUUAAAGUAGUAAUUUUUAAAAUUUAAGAAUUAUUUUUUAUAUAUAAAAGUUUUGCAAAUUGUAUCAUUCUCUAAUACAUUUAUAUUUUAUAGUUUAAUUUUAUAUAUAGUAACAUUAUACAUACCACAUAACAUUUUCGGUUUUA
This 418-nucleotide small RNA is filed under the name Arabidopsis thaliana (thale cress). RNAcentral describes it as "ATSL076680". The record is from RNAcentral. Lineage: Eukaryota; Viridiplantae; Streptophyta; Magnoliopsida; Brassicales; Brassicaceae.